This is an RNA transcript of Homo sapiens (human), 3652 nucleotides long. It is a transcript of the gene named DnaJ heat shock protein family (Hsp40) member C5 beta, with no coding region annotated. The record is from RefSeq and is marked reviewed. Lineage: Eukaryota; Metazoa; Chordata; Mammalia; Primates; Hominidae. The transcript is spliced from 7 exons.
AGGAGGCGCAGUUACUGAUAUAGCCAAGGUGGGACACUACUGGAGGGAGCUAGAAGGGAUCAGCCAGCCAUGCCUCCAGUUCAGGUACUUGGCAUUGCUAAGCUCAGAACAGGACUUGCCAGUGUCUAGAUGAAAAAGAGGAGAGAUCUCAAGAGGGAUAACCAAUUGGCUGGCAAAGUAACAAAUGAAAAGUAACCUGACUCUAUUGACCUGCUUAACCCUGCAUGGGGGGGAAGGAUGGAAAGGAGCAGCUGUUUGCUUUGAAACGGUGGAACAGUUUUGCAGCCUUAGAAAAUGGCAUGUAACAUACCUAACCAAAGACAGCGGACUCUGUCAACAACAGGAGAAGCUCUAUACGAAAUUCUUGGUCUGCAUAAGGGAGCAUCAAAUGAAGAAAUUAAGAAAACCUACAGGCUGGAAAAUCCCUUCACCUAAAGGCACCUGGCUCCUCAGCUACUACCAACAAGGAGUGUUGGGAGCCUCAGAAGCGGGAGACAAACCAAACAAACCAAAGAAGCACCGUAAAGACUCUGAAAAGUAGAUUGUUAUUGGAACCACUCACAAAAGUAGGCUAGAACCUGCAUGCUAAACCUAAAGGGGGCUGCCUGCUAAAAUAAAACAACUUAAAUAGAACCCAUUAUCUCCCAACAUGAUAACCAAAAUAUCCAGAUACAAACAAAAUGACCCAUCCUACAAAGAAGCAAGAAAAUCACAACUUGAAUAAGAAAAGACAAUCAGCUAACUCCUGUGCUGAGAUGAACCAGAUGUUGGAACUAUCUGAAAAGCAUUUUAAAGUAACCAUCAUAGGCCGGGUGCGGUGGCUCUCGCCUGUAAUCCCAGCACUUUGGGAGGCCGAGGCUGGCGGAUCACGAGGUCAGGAGAUUGAGACCAUCCUGGCUAACACAGUGAAAGCCCAUCUCUACUAAAAAUACAAAAAUUAGCCGGGCUUAGUGGCAGGCGCCUAUAGUCCCAGCUACUCGGGAGGCUGAGGCAGGAGAAGGGCGUGAACCUGGGAGGCGGAGCUUGCAGUGAGCCGAGAUCGCGCCACUGCACUCCAGCCUGGGCGACAGAGCAAGACUGUCUCAAAAAAUAAAUAAAUAAAUAAAGUAACCAUCAUAAAAAAUUCAACAAGUAACGACAAAUUCUCUUGAAGCAAGUAAAAAAAAAUGGAAAUUCUCAGUGAAGAAAUAGGAAUUAACAAAAAAGAACCAAAUGGAAACUAUAGAACCAAAAAAUAACACAAAUAAUAAAACUAACUGGAUGAGCUUAAUAGUACAGUGGAGAUGACAGAGAAUAGAAAUUGAGGACAGAUCAAUAGAAUGUUCCCGAUCUGAACAACCGAUAAACAAUAAACUGAAAACAGAGUCUCAGAAACCUGUGGGACAAUAACAAAGAUCCAACAUUUAUAGCAUUGACAUCCUAGAAGGAGAAGAGUGAAACAAUGGGACUAAAAGAGUACUAAAAGAAGUAAUGGCUGGAAAUUCCCCACAUUUGGCAAAAAAUAGAAACCUACAGAUUCAAGAGGCUGAGAGAACUCCGACAGGAUAAACCCAAAGCAAUCAAUGCCAAGAAACAUUAUAAUUAAAUUUCUGAAAACUACAGACAAAGAAAAAAAUUUGAAAGCAGCCAGGGAGAAACAAUGCAUGGCCAAACACCCAUUUGAAUGGCAGCAUAUUUCUCAUCUAAAGCAACAGCAGCCUGAAGGAAGUGACAAAAGAUUUUUCAACUGAUGAAAGAGAAGAACUGUCAACAGAAAAUUCUGUAUCUGGUGAAACUAUAUUUCACGAGUGAAUGGGGAAAUACGUUCUCACAUAAAGGGAAUCUAAAAGAAUUGUCACUAGCAGAUCUCUUCUUAAAGAAUGGCUAAAGGAAGUUCUUCGAAAGAAAGGAAAUGAUAAAGAAAGGAUCUUAGACGAUCAGGAAGAAGGAAAGAACAAGGGAGAAAGCAGAAAUAUGGAAAAUUGGCCCUGAAACACCAUCCAGACAAGAAUCCAGAUGAUCCAGCUGCUACUGAGAAGUUUAAAGAAAUCAACAACGCCCACGCAAUACUUACCGACAUUUCAAAGAGAAGCAUAUACGACAAGUACGGAUCGCUGGGACUCUACGUGGCCGAGCAGUUUGGAGACGAAAACGUUAACACCUACUUCAUGCUGUCGAGCUGGUGGGCAAAGGCCCUGUUUGUCAUCGUUGGCCUCUUGACGGGCUGCUACUUUUGCUGCUGCCUGUGCUGCUGCUGCAACUGCUGCUGUGGACACUGCCGGCCCGAGUCAUCAGUGCCAGAAGAGGACUUCUAUGUGUCCCCAGAGGAUCUGGAGGAGCAGAUCAAGUCUGACAUGGAAAAAGAUGUGGACUUUCCAGUUUUUCUCCAGCCUACAAAUGCAAAUGAGAAAACACAGCUAAUCAAAGAAGGAUCUCGAAGUUAUUGCACAGACUCUUGAUAUUGAGCCCUCAGAGAGUCCACAGUCCCUCCUCUCAGUUCAGUCUUGUCUCCAGAUGGUCGUAGGGGAGCGUGUGGGGCAUAAAGUGCUGUGAACUUUUCCAUCUUGUUGUUUUAUUUUUGGGUUAGGAAAACAUGAUUGCUAUAUAAUUUUCUCAGUAUGCAGACUUUCUCUCUGAGUAGAAUUUCUUAUGAAACACAUUCAAUUUGGGUGAAUAAAGGCCUGAAGAGUUAUUUUACCCUCCUUGCCUGAUGUAGGACAGUGGAAUUGUACAGCCUUUAUGAACCUGCCCUUUAUGUGUGGCAGAUCUGAUUCCUAACUGACCAAAGUAAUAUUCCAGAACAAAAGCCACUUUUCUUACAUUUAACACAAUAUUCAUAUCUACCACGAACAUGAUCAUCAAAAUAUAUGAGAACUUAUAAAGAGUUUUUGUGUGUGGAGCCUCUUCCGUGUCAAUAUUCAAUAAAGUUAUAGAAAUGUUUCAAGAGCCAGAAAGGGAUGAUUUUUUUUUAAAUCACAUUUUUAAGGUAUAUUUUUGGAACAUUAAAAAUUGGCAUUUACUGAAAACUGGAAACCAGGAAGAAACAGGUUUUGUGUGUACUUUUAGAUUGGCUUAAAAACAAAACAAAACAAAACUUCAACCUGGUUAAAUGUUGUAAGUGAACCAGAAAAUCAUUCUGAGCCUGAACCCGCCCCAUCAGCAUGUUGAUCAUUUUCUAGUAAAAUAAUUUUUGUAUAACUGGCUCAGAUUAGCCAGACUAAGGGAAAAAAAACAGAUGAAGGGGUAGAACUCUAUACUCUAGAGCCUAAAUUUACACCAAAACAUGUAUCACCUCAUUUUUGUUAAAAUUAGUUGCCUUGACCAGAAAUUGCUCAGCUCUGUGCAUGUUACACAAUUUAAGCCCAGAGGUCAUCUCUGCAUUUGCUUGUUUGAUUCUUGUAUUUAUUAUGUGGUAGAAACCAUGUGCUAUUUCUAAAAUACUAUGGCAGAAAAAGUGUUCGUUUUUCUAGCUCUUUCUUACUUUUUUAUAUAAUAUUGCAUUUUCAAGAUCUUGUUAUGUUUUUAUAUAAUAUUGUAUAAAAUGCCUUUAUCUUUUUUCUUGUUUCUUAUUCCCACCCAAAAAAUUAUAGUUAAUUGCUGCUAAAUAUAUAUUGUAAGUGAGAAUUAGUGUUAUAGCUCUGAUAGUUCUGAGGUCAUUAAAAUUCCACUCUAA